This 76-nucleotide transfer RNA is filed under the name Loktanella sp. Its description in RNAcentral is "tRNA-Ala". It matches the Rfam family "tRNA". From Rfam's summary of the family: Transfer RNA (tRNA) molecules are approximately 80 nucleotides in length. Their secondary structure includes four short double-helical elements and three loops (D, anti-codon, and T loops). Further hydrogen bonds mediate the characteristic L-shaped molecular structure. tRNAs have two regions of fundamental functional importance: the anti-codon, which is responsible for specific mRNA codon recognition, and the 3' end, to which the tRNAs corresponding amino acid is attached (by aminoacyl-tRNA synthetases). tRNAs cope with the degeneracy of the genetic code in two manners: having more than one tRNA (with a specific anti-codon) for a particular amino acid; and 'wobble' base-pairing, i.e. permitting non-standard base-pairing at the 3rd anti-codon position. RNAcentral also lists the same sequence under 6 other names. The record is from RNAcentral. Lineage: Bacteria; Pseudomonadati; Pseudomonadota; Alphaproteobacteria; Rhodobacterales; Roseobacteraceae.
GGGGCCGUAGCUCAGUUGGGAGAGCGCGUCGUUCGCAACGACGAGGUCGUCGGUUCGAUCCCGAUCGGCUCCACCA